Nicotiana tabacum (common tobacco) is the source of this 521-nucleotide non-coding RNA. The record is from RefSeq and is a predicted model, not a curated record. NCBI's taxonomy places the organism in Eukaryota, Viridiplantae, Streptophyta, Magnoliopsida, Solanales, Solanaceae.
GAACCUGUCUUUGGGACUUUCUAUAUACUGAAUGAUCUGUAACUUACAGCACCAAAUAGAAUAAUCUUUACAUAUUUAUGAAUGAGGACCCUCUACAUAUUAAUGAAGUUCACUCUUUGUUUUUCGCGUAGGUCCUUAAAGAGCCCAAUGUUCCUAGGGAUGUUCUCAGGCUACGCGCUAGGGCUAUGAAAAAGCUGGGGACAAUUUUUCAGGGUGCAAAACCAACGUACAGAAGAGAGAGCAGUUUGCGCAGUGAAAACACAGACAUGGUAGAUGGUGGUACAUCCUCGAAAUGAUGUUAAUAUUUUUCACUAAUUUUUGUGUAGAUACUUAUAACAGUGCAUCUGUGCUUGAGACUUGUUCAAUUUGGUGUACAUUUCUUGUUACUUUUUUGUAUCCCUCUGUUCUUCUUCGAAUACCAGUCGAUUCUUCUACAGCCAAAUCUCAAUUUGUGGAAAGUCGAGGAUCAAUUUUCAUUUGGUUAUACAAUAUCUCUUAAUUCUUCGUGAAUAUUUAGAUUA